Fragaria vesca subsp. vesca is the source of this 845-nucleotide RNA transcript. RefSeq lists it as uncharacterized. NCBI's taxonomy places the organism in Eukaryota, Viridiplantae, Streptophyta, Magnoliopsida, Rosales, Rosaceae. The transcript has 3 exons. The record is from RefSeq and is a predicted model, not a curated record.
CGGUUCAAGAGGGAAAGAGAGACCCUAAGCUCCUCCUUCAGCCCUCUCACUUGCUCCGCCCGUUCCUCACUGCCUCCAUGGUUGCCUUCAAUUUCUCGCUGAUUUCUAGAAUCGCCCUCACUAGCUCCAGCAGCUCCUGCUUCUCCCUGGCCUCCUUGGUCGCGGCGCUCAUCUACGCCGAUCUCGGCCUUGAUGGGGCGAUCGGAGAGCGAGGCGAGAAGAUGAGUGACGUUGUCGGAGAGCGUGUGGGAGUGGGAAACGGCUUCACUGCAGAGGGAGAAGAGGUCGGCGAAGUAGUGGUGGUGAGAGAGGAGGUAGGAUUGGAUUUUGGACUUGAUUUUGAGGGAGUGGGAGUCGAGGCGUUGGAUGAGGAGGUGGAGAUCCUAUGCUGAGAGCGAUGUGGUGGGGUCGCUCAGGUCCUGCGUCGAGAGGAGCUCUUGAAUGUUGAUUGAGUCGAGGAGGGCGUCCAUUCCAGCUAAUUAGACUGUCAAGAGUGGCCGGUCGGAGGAGAGCCUUAGGGUUUUUCAAGGUCAGUCGGCUAAUGGAUUUGAUAGUGCACAGACUCUAUAGCAAAAAGGAGGUGUUCCUUUAGAGAGCUUGUUAGGUUUGUUGCGGCUGCACAUAGCAUGGAAAAGAUUAGAGGAUGUACAUGACAUGAUUCUCAUCUUGUUGAAGUUUCGAGAACUCUGCGCUCAUGGUAAAGGAGAAAUGAGAAUGUAGUAGUAGUUCUAUAUGUAGAUUAGGAGUAAUAUGUAUUGUUAUUAUAUAUUUUUAUUCUUACACUUAAAUUGAUUUUGUAAUUGAUGUGGAUUAUUGACAUUUAAUGAAGAGUUACUUUUCUUGUU